Diabrotica virgifera virgifera (western corn rootworm) is the source of this 575-nucleotide long non-coding RNA. RefSeq lists it as uncharacterized. The transcript has 2 exons. NCBI's taxonomy places the organism in Eukaryota, Metazoa, Arthropoda, Insecta, Coleoptera, Chrysomelidae. The record is from RefSeq and is a predicted model, not a curated record.
UAUUUAGUCCAUUCCGAAGUUGUAGUUUGUUUUGACAUUUCCGUUUUAUUUAACCUAACCUAUGUUUUGUGUUUGUGUUUUGUUGUUUGGUUGUAUACAAGGAGUUGUAUAUUGAAAUUGAAUUGAUUCUUGUUUCAUUGAAUUAUUGAAUAUAGAGGAGUUGUUCUGUUGCAAGUUGUUCUAGUUUUGUUGUUUUAAAAUCUGAGAAAAACUAUUUAUAGAUAAUGGUGAACUUAAACAAGAAAUGGGCAUGCAGUUUGCUGAUUACUUAAUUGUGUACUCACAACACAUAGGAUUUCUCUGACACAGUUUCCAGUACAGAACUGCCACAGGAAUCUCCAGUGGAGUUGCAACCGCUCUCACGGACGUCCACAAAUCAAGUUACAAAACUGUUACAUGACUCUAUUGGAGUUGCAACCGCAAUUGGAUAAAAGUGAAAUUCGAAUAAUGCCAGAAAGACUAUAACCGUCCAAAGUGAUAGUGUGAAAUUAAAAUCAAAUGAUUACGUAUAAAUCAUAUUUAUAAUAAUUAUAAAUAGUAGCUGUAUUUUUUAAAUAAACAGAUUUGAUAAGUUA